This 805-nucleotide non-coding RNA is filed under the name Kluyvera ascorbata. RNAcentral's name for it is "antisense RNA of rseC mRNA". It matches the Rfam family "antisense RNA of rseC mRNA". Lineage: Bacteria; Pseudomonadati; Pseudomonadota; Gammaproteobacteria; Enterobacterales; Enterobacteriaceae. The record is from RNAcentral.
CCUGGGCUUCCAUUUCGCGGUCGGAAAGGCCGCCACAAAUCUGAAUAAUGCGGUCAGACAGCGUCGAUUUACCGUGGUCGAUAUGUGCAAUGAUGGAGAAGUUACGUAUAUUCUUCAUAUAUUAAAAUAUUUAUGCCUUACGAAUACUUUGAGGCCGCGGUACGGAGCCUGACAUUAUUGUCGUUCGAAAACGCCGCAUUCUACACUACAACCGCGUAACCAGGAAAUGCUCUUCCCGCAAGCAUAGCGCUUCCUGCGAGCAGCGUUCCAAAAAAAUAAAGCCAGUGUAAUCACUGGCUCAUUUCGGAGGGCGAUACCGUGCGGACCAGGUCGGGCGGGAGCCCCACGCUGAUAAUCACCGGCUGCCAGGUUUCCCGGGCGGCCAGCCGCGGCGAGAAGCCUUUGGCAACCAAAAAACCGCCCACACCGCCAAGCACCGCGCCGCACAGCGCGGCGAUAUCGCUACCGAACAGCACCUGAAACAGCGCCGCGACCACAAACAGCCCAAGCAGCGGUGACAUAUAUACCAGCAUGGCGGAACCGAGCAGGCUGCUUUCGCUGAUACCCAGCUCAACCUUUUGCCCGGCCACCAGCGGCUGCGCGCUGGGUACAGAGAUGGUGUGGCUGGUUUGCGGCCCGAGCUUGUUCAGCACCCGGCUGCCGCAGCCCGCACGCGAGGCGCAGCUGUUGCAGGAAGCUUUGACAUCACAGCUCACCUGCGCCACGCCGUUGUCCCACGCGAUGACGGUGGCCCACUCUUUAAUCAUUGCGGCGCACCCUUGAAUUGAAUGCCGUCCGCCACGCG